AUAUUUUUGUGACAAUAGUUUAAGCCAUUGUUUAGUGCUGGCCUCUCGUCGUUUUGUGCCUAACAGGCGUUUACCAUUUGUUCAUCAUUGUGUGGAGAGGCCUUCAAUCAGCAGCAGCCUGUCAAGCAUCUUCACUGUGUGUUCUCUCUCUACUUGUGUGUCUGUCUGUGUGUCUCCGUGUCUAUGUUUAGUCUCUCGCAAAUUUAGCAUUCUUUGGAAGAACGUCCAUCAACCAAACUCUCUGGUUCUCGCGGUAAAGUCACGUCGCUAUAAAUAAACUAAAGUAAGUCGCGACGUUUCGCCUGAAGACGGACGCUUGUGUUGCGUUCGAGACGUCGUGAUGUAGUUGAUUUUCUACCCACGUCACUUUACCGCAAGAACCAAAGAGUGGAUUCCUGCAGUCACGAAAGCUUCAAAUCAAGGUUCAUCAGCCAGAACCGCACUUCUCAAUGAUGGGCUUCAUCCAUUCCAAGCCAAGGAACUCACUGGCGCCCACGAUUGUGGAGAAGCUCGUGUUCAUCAAGACCAACCUGCCCGCCGCAUUCUACGACUACCCCGUGCCCGACGGCCCCCCGAGAUCCCUCCAAUGACUCCGGCUCCUCCUCCCGUUCGUCGGGGCGGUGCUGCUCGCUGUGUGGUUCGCACGCGCGACGUGGCACAGAGAGACGUCCCACGCACGGGGAGGUGGCAUCAGAUUACCGGUGACGGAAUCGCAGCUCCUCCGCACUUCGACAUCAACGCCAUCACCGCCGUCAUCGUCAUCACUGUCACCUCCGCCGUCGUCGCCGGCACCACUACCCCUGGGCAAUCGCAAGGUCGAAAGUUACUUGCAACUUGCACACUUUCAUCCAACAAGUUCCACUGCUUGAGCCUAGACGUCAAAAGCCUAGCAUUGGACUUGGUGAGACCAAGAUCUCUGAUCAAGUCGUUGAGGUCUGGGUUUCUCUCCUCAGCUCCACCUCUGAAAUUGUCAUCUGGAUCUACAAUGUCUUCCUUGCGCUCUGACUUGCUGCUCUCUUCUAAAGACGGCUGCUCUCUCUCCGGAGGAGUGGGUACGGGGAGCUCAUGGCAGUGUGGCGCCGGGGUGAUGGAUGAAGGAAGGUGAUAGGUGCAUUCUUGCCAGUCCUACGUUUGGAAGGGUCCACCAUGCAGAAGUAGCAGUUACUUGAGUGGUCAGUGGGUUCUUGCCAAAUUCUUGGGAUAGCGAACUUCAUGGCUCUCUUUUCCCCUCAAUACCAUCCUACAAAAAUACAUUUAUUUCACCCAUGACUAGUGUGUAAGAGAUUCUCGCAACAUUUUUCAUAUAUGAUAUAU
Lethenteron reissneri (Far Eastern brook lamprey) is the source of this 1314-nucleotide long non-coding RNA. RefSeq lists it as uncharacterized. The record is from RefSeq and is a predicted model, not a curated record. Lineage: Eukaryota; Metazoa; Chordata; Hyperoartia; Petromyzontiformes; Petromyzontidae.